UCUGAUGUGUCAGAGUAAAAAGACUUUAUGCAAAUCCUCUGUAAAGAGCAAGUGUUGGUAGAAGGAGGCCGGGGGCCUCCACAUCCCAGACCUGGGAAGCUCAGAAAGAGGAUGUGAGUCACCAAAGUUUAGCCUCACCUGCUCUAAGCCUUGUGCUGUUUAUGUCCAAGGGCUGUGCUUUCAUUUCUGUUGUCCUGCUGUUCCCUCCCUAGAAUCCAGGGUAGAGGGGACAGUUACUCCCAUUUUACAGAUGAGGAAUACUGAGGUCACAGAAGUGAUUUGCCCAAGGUCAAGUGGCUAAGAGAGAAGCCUAACUGAGAUUCCAUUCUGGACUGUUUGGAGAACCAGUACCCGUACCCUACAUCAGGUGAGCCCUUGAAUACUGCCAUGAUCACUAUAGACAGGCACUGCACAGUUCCAGGCUAUUAGGACAGGACUUCUCUGAGGGGAAAUCAGGGGAGGGCCCCAUAUACAGGGGGAGGGGUAGUUUGGCUCUGCAUUAUUUCAUGAGUUCCCUGAUUUAGGGGAGACACAAUGUCUCCUGACCCAGUCUCACUUAUGCAGAUGGUGGUCUGAUGAUAACAUCACCUGCCCCUGCCUGGCUCCCACACCCUUGCCAUCCCAUGACAAGAGUCCCCAAGACCCCUGCCUUUCCAAGACCGAGUAGAGCUACGGGACCAAGUUGGAAAACCCUUUCCCACCCUAUGCCUGGUGACAGCUCAGCCAGCUGAGCCGCAGGAGCCCAGAGUCCUCAGCUCUUCCCAGCUAACCCUCUGCGGCUUGGGACCUGUGGUGUUCCUGUGUCCCAGGCUCUGUGGGAUCUCAGAGGGGGCUGCGCCUUCUGCCCUCUGGCAGUUCCCACACGGGCUGGCUGAGGCUCCUACUCUCUGCACUCCGCCCCUCUCUCCAGCAAUCCCCUGGGAGCCACUGUGUUCAAUGGGCUAUCAGGCUUCCCCAUCACUCUCACGCCCCCCUCCAUUACCCCUGAAUAGGUGGGAUCCAGACCCACACAAGCACUCCCAGCCCCAAGUCCCCAGCCAAUCUUUCCCAGGAUCGCCUGGGACCUCACAGUUCUGAUGCACUACCUGCCUAGCCCUGCUCAAGACUCAAAGUCCUGGGCGGCUGGCACUCCAAGAGGCUGCCAUUCUAUUGUUUGGCAACAGCAUAUUCUAAAGCAGCAGUGUAAACUCAGCGCCAACACCCUCAGAUUGUAAGAUUCUGCUCAGCGAGCCUAGUAGCAGGUAAAAGUUGGGAUCUCUAAGAUCUCAGUUUCCAUCACCCUAAGCACCGACAUUCAGGGAUUCUAUGUGUCUCCAGCGUCCUUUGGGUUUUUGGCCACUGCAGCAGCUUCUGGCCACAAUACAAGGAGAGGCCUACACGGGGUGGGGCAGGCAGGACAGGCGGUGGUUGCCUGGCUUGUUUUUUUGAGGGGAGGUGGGAGGCUGUUGGCCAUGGGCCCCUUUAGGGUCCACAUCUGCUGGGUUGGGGCUCAGCCAGAGCCCGGCUGGCUGGUCCAGUUGCCGGGCUGCAGAGGCGAGGAAGGGAGCCCGGCUGGCAGGCUGUGUGAUGCUAAUGAGGCAGGGAGGCACGGCUUUUGUCCUGCACUUGUCCUUGCUGGAGGGUC
This 1624-nucleotide long non-coding RNA is filed under the name Homo sapiens (human). RNAcentral's name for it is "non-protein coding lnc-TAL1-2:1". The record is from RNAcentral. Lineage: Eukaryota; Metazoa; Chordata; Mammalia; Primates; Hominidae.